Molecule: ribosomal RNA, 490 nt
Filed under: uncultured bacterium
Lineage: Bacteria
Description: partial 16S ribosomal RNA
Rfam family: Bacterial small subunit ribosomal RNA
Source: RNAcentral
AUUGAACGCUGGCGGCAGGCCUAACACAUGCAAGUCGAACGGUAACAGGAAACAGCUUGCUGUUUCGCUGACGAGUGGCGGACGGGUGAGUAAUGUCUGGGAAACUGCCUGAUGGAGGGGGAUAACUACUGGAAACGGUAGCUAAUACCGCAUAACGUCGCAAGACCAAAGAGGGGGACCUUCGGGCCUCUUGCCAUCGGAUGUGCCCAGAUGGGAUUAGCUAGUAGGUGGGGUAACGGCUCACCUAGGCGACGAUCCCUAGCUGGUCUGAGAGGAUGACCAGCCACACUGGAACUGAGACACGGUCCAGACUCCUACGGGAGGCAGCAGUGGGGAUUAUUGCACAAUGGGCGCAAGCCUGAUGCAGCCAUGCCGCGUGUAUGAAGAAGGCCUUCGGGUUGUAAAGUACUUUCAGCGGGGAGGAAGGGAGUAAAGUUAAUACCUUUACUCAUUGACGUUACCCGCAGAAGAAGCACCGGCUAACUCCGUG